Drosophila pseudoobscura is the source of this 1218-nucleotide long non-coding RNA. RefSeq lists it as uncharacterized. The record is from RefSeq and is a predicted model, not a curated record. NCBI's taxonomy places the organism in Eukaryota, Metazoa, Arthropoda, Insecta, Diptera, Drosophilidae. The transcript has 3 exons.
GAAUAAAUUUUCUAGCCUAGGAGCUAUACCUUACAUUCCAUUUCAUUUCAAAACUGAAUAUUGUCGGGAGCUUAUCAUACAUUACAGUUCAGUUCCAGUUAACUUAAAAAUUUUAUGUUUCCAGUCAAAAAAUUGAAUAAUUCAAGCUCAGUUAUGAGUAACAGCACAAAUCAGAAUGGACUGUGGAUCCUGCAGUUAAUCCAGAACCAAAAGCAGCCCAUUACCUAUGAGAGGAUCAUAGCCCUUAUCGAAGAAGUAAAAAAAGAGCCGUUGGAUACACAGGAGAAAAUAAUAAUAAACGCCACAUUGCGAGCUGGCCUGCGACUUGGCUUUUUUCAACGCGUCGGUAAAAAGUUUUCAGUGCCAAUACUCCAUUAGAAAAUGUCCAAUUACUGUAUGCAGCUCAAACUAAACCAAAAUUAAAGCAGUUGAUGUACCUAUGCCGACAGAUAGAAUAUCACUUUUCAAAUAAACAAUAUGAUUUAUCACUUAUCACUUAUUGGUUAUGGCGUGUAUGGUUACACCUUUGGAUACAAGUCUGUUUGUUAACCGGACUAGCUAAUUCGCUUGAGGAUUCACAACUCGCGACCGCUUCUUAUCGAACGCUUUUCAGAACUGAUCUCAAUUUCUGAUCUCGUAUAUUAGUGAAAUCGAAGCCUAUGCUGAAGCCAAUCUUCUAGCAUUUCAAGAGCGUAGUUCUAUUAAGGUUUAUUGUUGAUGUUUACGUUAACAGAUAUUAGCAAGUGUGGCGGAGAUGUUUACAUUUACUGGAGUAGCGUGGGGUCUGGCUUAUUAAUGUUAUUGAUCGCUCAUCGAGUGCGUCAUUUGGUUUCGCUGGUCCCACAAGAGUUUUGAUAAUAAUAUAAUUCUGCUUUUGUCAGGGCUGUCAUUCUAACUUAUAGCCUUUUUAUUCAAGCAAAUCAAAUAUUUCUUUGGCAGAUAGAUUUGGAGAACUUAUUCUAAAUAAGCCUUUAGGAAUUUCAUUAGUCGAAGAAAACUUUACGGACAUUUUGAACAAUUAUGCUACGUGUAGGCCUAGACUUCAGUAAAAAUGUCACAAGACUUGAUAGAUGCCUUUUACAAAUAUUACUAAUAGCUUAAAUAACUAUUACUAAUAGACUUACAAAAAUACUGCCCUCAGCAGCAUAUCCUCAGUACUAGGCAUUAGCUUUUGAGAUGGAUGAUAUCAUCUGAUUAUGUAUGCUGGAAUACAAAAUG